GACACAACACUGAAAUGGGAACCAUAGACAAAUCCUGAGACUCUUUUUGUACUAUACUUCCUUUCCUGUUAUACAGAAUAACAGUUACAAACCAGCAAGACAAAGAGUUGAUGUGAUUACCAUUGUAACAAUACACUUCAGAGUGUCUGUGUUUCCCUCAUCUUGUCUCUCUGGGAUUGUCUUGACUGGUAACUCCUGCUUUGUGAACCAUACAACUCCACAUUGCUGAAGAGGAAUGACAUCUUUGGCCAAAACCAAGUAUUCUUCUAUGGAAUAUUCCCUGUAAAACCUGAAGUGGCAUCUGGUGCUUUCAUAGAAGAACUGGAAGAUAAGAGUGGCAGAAGCAAGUUUAAGCAUUGAAGGACAUUGGAGAACAAGUCAGACACAAUUCCUGUGAAAGGUCCAUGGAAACUUGAGCUGCUGGAGUCACUUGUGACCAGAUGUGUUUGGGGACCAGAGUAAAAGAUAAAAUAUAAUUGUAUCAGAAUCAGAGAAUCAAAUGGACUAUAACUACAAAAUAAAAUAUAUUUUUGUGAAGAAACUAAUGGCAGUGAGGAACUCAACUAAGCAGUGAUGACUGGUGGAGAGUGGGGAAGGCAGACAAGAUGCUCCAUUGGGAACAGAUGGCUUUCUGGAAAUCUCCCAACAAGGACUACUCCUGGAAUAGAUUUCAUCUGCAAGCCCCACGCAGAGCUUCUGACAUGGGAGGAAGUGGAAUCUCUGCUCUUAACUCUUGGCCAGCAAUCCUAGCUGUGGGAGGAACAAAGCCUUGAAUACAGUCAUUAAAAUUCAAUGCAACAAUUACAGUUAAUGUGCAUUAAUUUGGGCAUGUUAAGCUACUUAUUAUAUGCCAGAUAUAUUAUUGUAACUGGCAAUAACAAGGAUAUCAUCUUUAGCAGUGUCACAGAUUCUGUUAAGCAGAGACUCUGGUCUCAGUUGCUUGUUAAUAAACAUAAUUG
This is a long non-coding RNA of Parus major (Great Tit), 959 nucleotides long. RefSeq lists it as uncharacterized. The record is from RefSeq and is a predicted model, not a curated record. The transcript is spliced from 7 exons. Lineage: Eukaryota; Metazoa; Chordata; Aves; Passeriformes; Paridae.